ACACCAUGGCGGGGACAUUAUCUUAGCAAACUCUUAAAUCUGUCCCACACUUCAAAUAAUAAUUCUCUAUCUUUCUGAGCAAAAUUUAUGAUUUUGUUCCUCAUAU
Molecule: small nucleolar RNA, 106 nt
Organism: Zingiber officinale
Lineage: Eukaryota; Viridiplantae; Streptophyta; Magnoliopsida; Zingiberales; Zingiberaceae
Source: RefSeq, a predicted model, not a curated record